RNAcentral lists this ribosomal RNA (548 nucleotides) under uncultured bacterium. Its description in RNAcentral is "bacterial SSU rRNA". It matches the Rfam family "Bacterial small subunit ribosomal RNA", at positions 777 to 1314 of the family's 1533-position model. The record is from RNAcentral.
AAUAGAACCCCGGUAGUCCACGCCGUAAACGGUGGGCACUAGGUGUGGGCGACAUUCCACGUCGUCCGUGCCGCAGCUAACGCAUUAAGUGCCCCGCCUGGGGAGUACGGCCGCAAGGCUAAAACUCAAAGGAAUUGACGGGGGUCCCGCGACAAGCGGCGGAGCAUGUGGCUUAAUUCGACGCAACGCGAAGAACCUUACCAAGGCUUGACAUACACCGGAAACGUCCAGAGAUGGGCGCCCCCUUGUGGUCGGUGUACAGGUGGUGCAUGGCUGUCGUCAGCUCGUGUCGUGAGAUGUUGGGUUAAGUCCCGCAACGAGCGCAACCCUUGUCCCGUGUUGCCAGCAGGCCCUUGUGGUGCUGGGGACUCACGGGAGACCGCCGGGGUCAACUCGGAGGAAGGUGGGGACGGCGUCAAGUCAUCAUGCCCCUUAUGUCUUGGGCUGCACACGGUGCUACAAUGGCCGGUACAAUGAGCUGCGAUACCGCGAGGUGGAGCGAAUCUCAAAAAGCCGGUCUCAGUUCGGAUUGGGGUCUGCAACGUCCG